RNAcentral lists this ribosomal RNA (434 nucleotides) under uncultured bacterium. RNAcentral describes it as "partial 16S ribosomal RNA". It matches the Rfam family "Bacterial small subunit ribosomal RNA", at positions 29 to 507 of the family's 1533-position model. The record is from RNAcentral.
AGCGAACGCUGGCGGCAGGCCUAACACAUGCAAGUCGAACGAACCUUUCGGGGUUAGUGGCGGACGGGUGAGUAACACGUGGGAACGUGCCUUUAGGUUCGGAAUAACUCAGGGAAACUUGUGCUAAUACCGAAUGUGCCCUUCGGGGGAAAGAUUAAUCGCCUUUAGAGCGGCCCGCGUCUGAUUAGCUAGUUGGUUGAGGUAAUGGCUCACCAAGGCGACGAUCAGUAGCUGGUCUGAGAGGAUGAUCAGCCACAUUGGGACUGAGACACGGCCCAAACUCCUACGGGAGGCAGCAGUGGGGAAUCUUGCGCAAUGGGUGAAAGCCUGACGCAGCCAUGCCGCGUGAAUGAUGAAGGUCUUAGGAUUGUAAAAUUCUUUCACCGGGGACGAUAAUGACGGUACCCGGAGAAGAAGCCCCGGCUAACUUCGUG